Non-coding RNA from Pelobates cultripes (western spadefoot toad), 203 nucleotides. NCBI's taxonomy places the organism in Eukaryota, Metazoa, Chordata, Amphibia, Anura, Pelobatidae. The record is from the annotation of a GenBank genome assembly.
CUCUCCUAGCUAUUCGUAUAUGAGUUAGAUAUAAAUACCAUGGUCUCCAUUGUUCGGUGUCUUUGUCACUCCGUCCCACUAAUUCCGCCAAUUUUGCUUCCGCUGUGUGGAUCUCUUCUACUCUCCGUAACCAUUGCGCUGUGGUGGGGGGUUGGGUUUGUUUCCACAUAGCGGGGAUCAAUGAUUUAGCUGCGUUGAGAAGG